AUUGAACGCUGGCGGCAUGCCUUACACAUGCAAGUCGAACGGCAGCGGACCUUCGGGCGCCGGCGAGUGGCGAACGGGUGAGUAAUAUAUCGGAACGUACCUUUCAGUGGGGGAUAACGUAGCGAAAGUUACGCUAAUACCGCAUAUUCUGUGAGCAGGAAAGCAGGGGAUCGCAAGACCUUGCGCUGAUUGAGCGGCCGAUAUCAGAUUAGCUAGUUGGUGAGGUAAAGGCUCACCAAGGCGACGAUCUGUAGCGGGUCUGAGAGGAUGAUCCGCCACACUGGAACUGAGACACGGUCCAGACUCCUACGGGAGGCAGCAGUGGGGAAUUUUGGACAAUGGGCGCAAGCCUGAUCCAGCCAUGCCGCGUGAGUGAAGAAGGCC
RNAcentral lists this ribosomal RNA (384 nucleotides) under uncultured bacterium. RNAcentral describes it as "bacterial SSU rRNA". It matches the Rfam family "Bacterial small subunit ribosomal RNA", at positions 30 to 416 of the family's 1533-position model. The record is from RNAcentral.